AUACGGAGGGUGCAAGCGUUAUCCGGAAUCAUUGGGUUUAAAGGGUCCGUAGGCGGGCUAAUAAGUCAGGGGUGAAAUCCCACAGCUUAACUGUGGAACUGCCCUUGAUACUGUUGGUCUUGAGUUACAGUGAAGGGGUUAGAAUGUGUAGUGUAGCGGUGAAAUGCAUAGAGAUUACACAGAAUACCGAUUGCGAAGGCAGAUCACUAACUGUAUACUGACGCUAAUGGACGAAAGCGUGGGGAGCGAACAGGAUUAGAAACCCCAGUAGUCC
Molecule: ribosomal RNA, 274 nt
Filed under: uncultured bacterium
Lineage: Bacteria
Description: partial 16S ribosomal RNA
Rfam family: Bacterial small subunit ribosomal RNA
Source: RNAcentral